RNAcentral lists this long non-coding RNA (925 nucleotides) under Daphnia pulicaria. Its description in RNAcentral is "uncharacterized LOC124341499, transcript variant X1". The record is from RNAcentral. Lineage: Eukaryota; Metazoa; Arthropoda; Branchiopoda; Diplostraca; Daphniidae.
AAACUAAAAAAAAAAACGCUUGUAACAUAGGUCAUUUCAUCUGAGUCAACAGUCAACAGUCAACAGUCAACGUUAAGCAUUUAAGCUAGCUUCGAAAAUUACCAAUGAUUCAUAGUCAAGUCAGAGUAAACUUGAAAGUCGUGCAACCUACUGUCAACUAUUUUUUUCAAACUCAUUGUAAUCUACUGCGUCAUCGAAAUGAUACAGGAUUAAUCUUAAUUAUCGGCUGUUUCUAUUGAACUUGCUAGAUCACCGACCCCAGCAUGGAACAAUCUCUCAUUCCAUCUUAUCUUGGAUAACUGAUUGGUUUCUAAAUUGGCAUGACUUACUUUAUGAGAAGUUAUGUCCUUUCAAGAAAAAGGACUUACAGUCGACAAGAUUCCUUGUUUGCUAACCUGUUGGCUGCUACCCUUGAAUCUCCCUAUUUGUCAACAACAAAAAAAGAGGUUAAAUAUUGUGAUCAUGCCUAUCAUCAUUAUGAUGCCUAUAAGACCAAAUGUGGGGCAUCUGGUUAUCACUCCAAAAUAAGGUAAUGACCACACGUUCAACGCGGAUCAUUCGCUUUGUCAUCGAACUUGACUCAUUCCAUCUUCUGGAUUGCUUAGGAAAGCUGAUUGGUGUUACCUGUGUAACUUCAUUGUCAUGUCACUGAAUUUAAAUUUUGUUUACAUUUUGUUUCUUGAUUUAGCCAUUUAGGUAAUGACCGAGAAGAUGCGGCCUUCAUGAACAUCAUUUAGGCGGCCAGCAUCAUUCGACUACCCAACCGGCUUCUACUACCCUGCUCUCAACACAGCACGUAGUUUUACCCUUAGAUUUUUGGCUGUUCGCGAUGUGUGAUGGCGUUUCCUUGGACGAGAUGAUGAUUUUGGCGAGAAAAAUAUUGCGGUAAUCCUUCGCUACUGAUCAUGGACUCCAUUGGUGAAAC